AGCUACAGGCUUAACACAUGCAAGUCGAGGGGCAGCAUGGUCUUAGCUUGCUAAGGCCGAUGGCGACCGGCGCACGGGUGAGUAACACGUAUCCAACCUGCCGUCUACUCUUGGACAGCCUUCUGAAAGGAAGAUUAAUACAAGAUGGCAUCAUGAGUCCACAUGUUCACAUGAUUAAAGGUAUUCCGGUAGACGAUGGGGAUGCGUUCCAUUAGAUAGUAGGCGGGGUAACGGCCCACCUAGUCUUCGAUGGAUAGGGGUUCUGAGAGGAAGGUCCCCCACAUUGGAACUGAGACACGGUCCAAACUCCUACGGGAGGCAGCAGUGAGGAAUAUUGGUCAAUGGGCGAGAGCCUGAACCAGCCAAGUAGCGUGAAGGAUGACUGCCCUAUGGGUUGUAAACUUCUUUUAUAAAGGAAUAAAGUCGGGUAUGCAUACCCGUUUGCAUGUACUUUAUGAAUAAGGAUCGGCUAACUCCGUGCCAGCAGCCGCGGUAAUACGGAGGAUCCGAGCGUUAUCCGGAUUUAUUGGGUUUAAAGGGAGCGUAGAUGGAUGUUUAAGUCAGUUGUGAAAGUUUGCGGCUCAACCGUAAAAUUGCAGUUGAUACUGGAUAUCUUGAGUGCAGUUGAGGCAGGCGGAAUUCGUGGUGUAGCGGUGAAAUGCUUAGAUAUCACGAAGAACUCCGAUUGCGAAGGCAGCCUGCUAAGCUGCAACUGACAUUGAGGCUCGAAAGUGUGGGUAUCAAACAGGAUUAGAUACCCUGGUAGUCCACACGGUAAACGAUGAAUACUCGCUGUUUGCGAUAUACUGCAAGCGGCCAAGCGAAAGCGUUAAGUAUUCCACCUGGGGAGUACGCCGGCAACGGUGAAACUCAAAGGAAUUGACGGGGGCCCGCACAAGCGGAGGAACAUGUGGUUUAAUUCGAUGAUACGCGAGGAACCUUACCCGGGCUUAAAUUGCAGAUGAAUUACGGUGAAAGCCGUAAGCCGCAAGGCAUCUGUGAAGGUGCUGCAUGGUUGUCGUCAGCUCGUGCCGUGAGGUGUCGGCUUAAGUGCCAUAACGAGCGCAACCCUUGUUGUCAGUUACUAACAGGUUCCGCUGAGGACUCUGACAAGACUGCCAUCGUAAGAUGUGAGGAAGGUGGGGAUGACGUCAAAUCAGCACGGCCCUUACGUCCGGGGCUACACACGUGUUACAAUGGGGGGUACAGAGGGCCGCUACCACGCGAGUGGAUGCCAAUCCCAAAAACCUCUCUCAGUUCGGACUGGAGUCUGCAACCCGACUCCACGAAGCUGGAUUCGCUAGUAAUCGCGCAUCAGCCACGGCGCGGUGAAUACGUUCCCGGGCCUUGUACACACCGCCCGUCAAGCCAUGGGAGCCGGGGGUACCUGAAGUGCGUAACCGCGAGGAGCGCCCUAGGGUAAAACUGGUGACUGGGGCUAAGUCAUAACA
RNAcentral lists this ribosomal RNA (1451 nucleotides) under uncultured organism. Its description in RNAcentral is "SSU rRNA". It matches the Rfam family "Bacterial small subunit ribosomal RNA". The record is from RNAcentral.